RNAcentral lists this non-coding RNA (45 nucleotides) under Schistosoma margrebowiei. Lineage: Eukaryota; Metazoa; Platyhelminthes; Trematoda; Strigeidida; Schistosomatidae. The record is from RNAcentral.
AUCCAGGUGAUGAGUCCCAAAUAGGACGAGAUGCGCGUCUUGAAU